AACGAACGCUGGCGGCGUGCCUAACACAUGCAAGUCGUACGAGAAACACGUCCUUCGGGGUGUGGAGUAAAGUGGCGCACGGGGGAGUAACACGUGAGUAACCUGCCGCUUGGACUGGGAUAACAAGCCGGAAGGCUUGCUAAUACCGGAUGAGACCACGAUUUCUUUGGGAAUUGGGGGAAAAGUCGGCCUAUCCUUGGAAUCCGGCGCCUAAUGAGGGGCUCGCGGACCAUUAGCUUGUUGGUAGGGUAACGGCCUACCAAGGCUGAGAUGGAUAGCUGGUCUGAGAGGAUGAUCAGCCACACUGGAACUGAGACACGGUCCAGACUCCUACGGGAGGCAGCAGUGAGGAAUAUUGCGCAAUGGGGGCAACCCUGACGCAGCAACGCCGCGUGAGUGAAGAAGGCCUUCGGGUUGUAAAGCUCUGUCAGGCGGGAAGAAAGGCCGAUAGUUUAAUGGACUAUUGGUUUGACGGUACCGCCGGAGGAAGCACCGGCUAACUCCGUGCCAGCCGCCGCGGUAA
This 523-nucleotide ribosomal RNA is filed under the name uncultured bacterium. Its description in RNAcentral is "partial 16S ribosomal RNA". It matches the Rfam family "Bacterial small subunit ribosomal RNA", at positions 29 to 523 of the family's 1533-position model. The record is from RNAcentral.